RNAcentral lists this long non-coding RNA (208 nucleotides) under Trifolium pratense (red clover). RNAcentral's name for it is "long non-coding RNA (TPRA_LNC011614)". The record is from RNAcentral. Lineage: Eukaryota; Viridiplantae; Streptophyta; Magnoliopsida; Fabales; Fabaceae.
GGGAGUUAUGGGUGGUUACUUCUUAUUCCCAUGGGAAUGUAAGAUUCCCACCAUUUAACAUGGGAAUAAAAAGUGGGAAAGUCAUGUGUAAUUUAUAUUCCAAGGAAUAAAAAGUUCCUGGGCAUAAUUUUUUAAAACUUGAAACAAACAUAGGAAUUAAAGAUUCCCAAAGUCACAUUCAUGGGAAUAAAUUUAUAAUCCAUGAAAC